AGCGAACGCUGGCGGCAGGCUUAACACAUGCAAGUCGAGCGGGCAUCUUCGGAUGUCAGCGGCAGACGGGUGAGUAACACGUGGGAACGUACCCUUCGGUUCGGAACAACUCUGGGAAACUGGAGCUAAUACCGGAUACGCCCUUAUGGGGAAAGGUUUACUGCCGAAGGAUCGGCCCGCGUCUGAUUAGCUAGUUGGUGGGGUAACGGCCUACCAAGGCGACGAUCAGUAGCUGGUCUGAGAGGAUGAUCAGCCACACUGGGACUGAGACACGGCCCAGACUCCUACGGGAGGCAGCAGUGGGGAAUAUUGGACAAUGGGCGCAAGCCUGAUCCAGCCAUGCCGCGUGAGUGAUGAAGGCCUUAGGGUUGCAAAGCUCUUUUGUCCGGGACGAUAAUGACGGUACCGGAAGAAUAAGCCCCGGCUAACUUCG
Molecule: ribosomal RNA, 433 nt
Filed under: uncultured bacterium
Lineage: Bacteria
Description: partial 16S ribosomal RNA
Rfam family: Bacterial small subunit ribosomal RNA
Source: RNAcentral